UGUAGCACCACAGAGGAGGUUGACAUGUGAGGCCGGCAGUGCAAAUAUCUUUGGUGUACAACUUGGAACGACUGCCUGUCUGACUCAUUGUCUGUUUCUUGGACAUUUAGGUGCAUACUGUGAUAGCCACAAUGUGUGUCAUUGUCGCCAUUAACAAGGUGAGUGUAUAGUCCUUUAAUCAUUUUACAGAUUUACUUUAGUAAUAUUUGCGUAAUCUUUUUGUUUUUUUGUUAUUUAUUGAAUAUUUUUAGUAACUAUUUCUUACAGAGUAAUUUAAUAGGGCAGGAUAUUGUAUAUAUAUUGUUAUAGCAUUGAUUCACUUACAAGUUCCUUUCCUAAUAUUUCCUGGUAAAUUGGCACCCUGUUUUUCAAAAUAUGUGAUCCAUACCUGCGUUUGCAAAUGUAUAGAUAAUCAACAAUAUUUAGGACAAUAAGGGUUCAUAACUGUAUUUUAAACUAUAUGUAGUUAUUUCUUAUUUUAAUUAUAACAAAAUAAAACUUAAUACCCAUGGAUCUUAAUACGGUAAAUCAUCAAGACACUAAUGGACACAUCUUGACGAUUGAACAACUGGAUUCAUAUAAAUGGAACAUAAAAUUGGUUUUCAUGCAAUUUUGAUGUAAAAAUUACUCGAUUCUUUUAUCUAAAUUCACUGUUCAAUUCAAUGAUAGAUGAGCGAGGUUUUGAAGCGUAUAAAGAAUUAUAUUUUAGAUAUAUAUCAAAUUCAAGCUUAAAGCGACACUAACGAAAUCUAUGUCUAUGACACGCCUUUCCACUAGCAUCUGUUUACUUUUUUUAGGUUCUGAUAAAUGAUGAGUUAAAGUACGAAGUAUAUCAUUUAGAUAAUGAAAUAUCUAUUGUUAUCAUAUAAAUACAAUGCCAUUUAUCUGUAAUUUUUUUUUAGAUAAGUGUCGAAAUCGUGGAAUGUCCAAAUGAUGAAUAAAAGUGUAAAAC
RNAcentral lists this long non-coding RNA (952 nucleotides) under Mytilus galloprovincialis (Mediterranean mussel). Lineage: Eukaryota; Metazoa; Mollusca; Bivalvia; Mytilida; Mytilidae. The record is from RNAcentral.